CCUACGGGAGGCAGCAGUAGGGAAUAUUGCUCAAUGGGGGAAACCCUGAUGCAGCAACGCCGCGUGGAUGAAGAAGUUUUUCGGUUUGUAAACCCCUAUUGUCAGAGAAGAUAAUGACGGUACCUGAUUAAUAAGCACCGGCUAACUACGUGCCAGCAGCCGCGGUAAUACGGAGGGUGCAAGCGUUACCCGGAUUUACUGGGCGUAAAGGGAGCGUAGGCGGGAUCGCAAGUCUGAAGUGAAAUGCCAUGGCUUAACCCUGGAACUGCAUUUGAAACUGUUAUUCUAGAGUGUGGGAGAGGUAAGUGGAAUUCUUGGUGUAGGGGUGAAAUCCGUAGAGAUUAAGAGGAAUAC
This 354-nucleotide ribosomal RNA is filed under the name uncultured bacterium. RNAcentral describes it as "partial 16S ribosomal RNA". It matches the Rfam family "Bacterial small subunit ribosomal RNA", at positions 338 to 709 of the family's 1533-position model. The record is from RNAcentral.